GAAAGUAAGCAAGGGCAGACGGUGGAUGCCUUGGCUCUCGGAGGCGACGAAGGACGUGAUAAGCUGCGAAAAGCUCGGGGGAGGCGCAAAUAGCCCUUGAUCCCGGGAUAUCCGAAUGGGGCAACCCGGCAGGCUGAAGGCCUGCCAUCCCGUAAGGGAGGCGAACGUGGGGAACUGAAACAUCUAAGUACCCAUAGGAGGAGAAAAUAAACAAUGAUUCCGUAAGUAGUGGCGAGCGAACACGGAAGAGCCCAAACCCAUGUCGUCUAGGCGACACGGGGGUUGUAGGACCACGACGUGGCAAGAUAGAGUCAAGUGGAACGCCUUGGAAAAGGCGACCGUAGAGGGUGAUAGUCCCGUACACGACUGACGAUUGAAGCCUAGUGGCAUCCUGAGUAGCGCGGGGCACGAGAAAUCUUGCGUGAAACUGCGGGGCCCAUCCCGUAAGGCUAAAUACUCCCGAGAGACCGAUAGCGAACCAGUACCGUGAGGGAAAGGUGAAAAGAACCCCGAGCAGGGGAGUGAAAUAGACCCUGAACCCGUCUGCCUACAAGCGGUCGGAGCAUCGUCAAGAUGUGACGGCGUGCCUUUUGCAUAAUGAACCUACGAGUUACCUUCCCCGGCAAGGUUAAGUACCUAAGGUACGGAGCCGAAGCGAAAGCGAGUCUGAAUAGGGCGGCCAGUCGGGGGGGGUAGACGCGAAACCGAGUGAUCUACCCUUGGCCAGGUUGAAGGUUGGGUAACACCAACUGGAGGACCGGAUGGGUAAGCGUUGAAAAGCUUUCCAAUGAGCUGAGGGUAGGGGUGAAAGGCUAAUCAAACUCGGAGAUAGCUCGUACUCCCCGAAAUGCAUUUAGGUGCAGCCUCUUUAUAGUAUAUCGUGAGGUAGAGCGACUGAUUGGAUGCGAGGGCUUCACCGCCUAUCAAGUCCAGAUAAACUCCGAAUGCGCGAUAUAUAUUUACAGGGAGUGAGGGCGCGGGUGCUAAGGUCCGUGUCCGAGAGGAGAAGAAUCCAGACCACCGGCUAAGGCCCCCAAAUGAUCGUUGAGUUGAACUAACGAGGUCGGAUCGCAGAGACAGCUAGGAUGUUGGCUUGGAAGCAGCCAUUCAUUUAAAGAGUGCGUAACAGCUCACUAGUCGAGCGAUCUGGCGUGGAUAAUAAUCGGGCAUAAACGAUCUGCCGAAGCCGUGGAUGUCGCAAGACAUGGUAGGGGAGCAUUCCAUGCGGCGUCGAAGAUGAGGGAUGACCCUUGUUGGAGCGCAUGGAAAAGCAAAUGUAGGUAUGAGUAACGAUAAGGGGGGCGAGAAACCCCCCCGCCGAAAGACCAAGGUUUCCUGAUCAACGCUAAUCGGAUCAGGGUGAGUCGGGACCUAAGGCAAAGCCGAACGGCGACGCCGAUGGAAGAAUGGGUUAAUAUUCCCAUACUGCCUCAUGGAGUGACGUGGAGACGGAGAAGUGACAGUCCUGCCGGCUGACGGAAUAGCCGGUUGAAGGGUGUAGAUAUUGAUUCCCGUAGGCAAAUCCGCGGGGAGAGUCGAACCUGACAGUAUACGGAGCGCUUGCGCAACGUAAUAUGGACGUAACCAUGCUCCCAAGAAAAUCCGCUAAACUUAUCCAUGCGGCACCCGUACCGUAAACGGACACACGUGGUCGGGUUGAGAAUACUGAGGCGCUCGAGUGACUCACGGUUAAGGAACUAGGCAAAUUGACCCUGUAACUUCGGGAUAAAGGGUCCUCGUCGUAAGGCGAGGCGCAGAGAAUAGGUCCAGGCAACUGUUUAACAAAAACACAUGGCUGUGCUAAAUGGAAACAUGAUGUAUACAGCCUGACACCUGCCCGGUGCUGGAAGGUUAAGAGGAGAUGUCAUCGCGAGAGAAGCGUUGAAUUGAAGCCCCAGUAAACGGCGGCCGUAACUAUAACGGUCCUAAGGUAGCGAAAUUCCUUGUCGGGUAAGUUC
RNAcentral lists this ribosomal RNA (1958 nucleotides) under human gut metagenome. RNAcentral's name for it is "bacterial LSU rRNA". It matches the Rfam family "Bacterial large subunit ribosomal RNA", at positions 1 to 1983 of the family's 2925-position model. The record is from RNAcentral.